GAUGAAGAACGUAGUGAAACGCGAUAUGUAAUGUGAAUUGCAGAAUUCAGUGAAUCAUCGAAUCUUUGAACGCACAUGGCGCCUUCCAGUAUCCUGGGAGGCAUGCCUGUCCGAGCGCCGUUUCAACCCUCGAGCCCCCGUGGCCCGGCGUUGGGGAUCUGCCACGGCAGGCCCCUAAAACCAGUGGCGGACCCGAAGGCCCUCUCCUUUGCGCAGUAGCAUCAGCCUCGCAUUGGGAUCCCUCGGCGUCCUGCCUCUAAACCCCCCACAAGUCCGCUCCGGCGGCACCAAGGUUGACCUCGGAUCAGGUAGGAAUACCCGCUGAACUUAAGCAUAUCAAUAAGCGGAGGA
Molecule: unclassified non-coding RNA, 351 nt
Filed under: soil metagenome
Description: partial contains 5.8S ribosomal RNA, internal transcribed spacer 2, and large subunit ribosomal RNA
Rfam family: 5.8S ribosomal RNA (bases 1-120)
Source: RNAcentral